AGCCACCCAGGCGCCCCAACAAAUAAACAUUUAAAACAAAAAACAAAAAGAUACUUGGAGGAAGCAUUCUUCUCUUCCUAGAAUUUAUCAUGAGUUUGAUGACAAAUUUUUUUUUAACCUAUGAAAAUCUUCUGACUUUUAUAAUAGCCUAAUGAUGUGAUUAUAUUAAUUCUAGCUCUGUGUGUGUGUGUGUCACAGGUAAUUUCUGAGUGAUCCAGUUGAAACCACAAAAAUGAUUAAAACGAUGGAUAAAAUUAGUACUUCUUUUGCUGGACAGGCAUGAAAAGGAUUCUGCUUGGGCCAAAAAUGAAAUACAAGGAGGCAUUCCAGGAGAUCAACACAAAAGCUGGGUUUUUUUCCCCUGUUGAUUUUUACCAAAUCCUGGAGACCUAGAACUUUCUCCUUUAGUGGCUGUGCAGGGGGCAGGAGAUAACAGUUCCAUGUCUUGGGCACAGGAUCCCUGCAUGAAGCUGGGACCUCAAAAGACAACCCUCCCCGCCCCCCCCCCAGGGAAAGGGAAGAUGGGAAAUCAACUUACCAUCCAGCUUUCGCCUUGUCACAGAUCUAAAAACUAUAGAAGCACUUGAAUCACUCCAAAGCCAAGCUCCAUUAUGCCAGCCUCCCUCACCUGGAGGUUGCUCACCACUGUAAGAAGGUGGAUUUGGAGUUGAGAGGAACAAAUUCAUUCCUGGUCAGGAGGGUCAAGAAACACUUCUUAGAUAUUUGAGCUGAGCCUCGAAAUGCAUGCAUAUACACGUAGUGAUUUCAACAAGCAGAGAAUGAGGAAAGGAUUCCUGGUGCAGGGAGGGUGGCAGGAGUGUAGUCAGGGCCAGGCGUAUAGAGAUCAGCCCCACGCUCUAGUACAGUGAGCAGGUUCCACUGCCUUCAGAGCACUGUUCAGAGGUGGGUGGUAGGUUGUUGUUGGGGUUUUUUUUCCUACUUCUGGGAAUCCUUGUCGAUGCAGUAGCAGGUUAUUUACACUUUGAGGGGUAAUUUUAUGAAAAUGUGUUUGCCAGAGAGCUCUCCUUCCUUUCUUGAAUGAAUGUCUGUUUUCUAGCGUCUCAAUUACAGUGAUACUGAAAUUGCACUGUCUUUCCUGGGCCUCAAACUCAAAUAAGGUUUAAUUCACCAUAACUGCUAUUUACUUACAACGUGUUACUGUGUCACGAAGUAGACACUCGCGUGUGCACGCCCUGACCCCUGCGGUAAGCGGGUACAGCAGGAAGGCCGCAGGCUCUGACCGUCUGUAAGGAGUUGACCGUCCCAUGGAGAAGGAGGGGGUAAGCCUCUUUAAACAAUUAGAGGAUUAUAAAAUGAUCUUCUGGAGGGGUGCCUGGGUGGCUCAGUUGGUUAAGCAUCUGACUCUUGAUUUCCUCUCAGGUCAUGAUCUCACGGUUUGGGAGUUCGAGGCCCACACCUGGCCCUGCAGUGGCAGCACAGAACCUGCUUGGGAUUCUGUCUCCCACUCUCUGCCCCUCCCCUAUUUGCUCUCUCUCUCUCUCUCUCUCUCUCUCUCAAAAUAUAUUAAAAAUAAGUAAAAAAUAAAAUUUUAUUGAAGAGGAACUUGGGAUAUACGCUGAAGGAUAAGGGAGAGGAGAGUGUUUUGCUGUGGAUACAGCCAAAAAAAAGUUUAAAGACUCCAAAACAAGAUUGAACACGGGAUGAAGUGAAAAAGAAUGGGUGAGCUUUGUGAGUGACUACGUGUGUGUGUUACAUACAUGCAUGUGUAAGUGUAGAUACCAGAACAGAGAUGGCAUGGUCCCCAAAAGAUGCUUAACCUCAGAUGGUCUUUGCUGUAGGCAUGUAAUCCAAGGGAGUCGUUCCCACAAGACUCAAAUAGCCACGAGUACUGCCAACCGUCCUUUCUUUUGCUCUCAAACGAGAGGCUUAAGUCUCUGUCUUCGUGACCCUGUGGAGAACUGGGGUCAUCCCACCCAUCUCCGGGGUGAUGAGAAGAUUCCGCGCACCACCGCUGACCCUUGUACUGUCCGGUCCGGUGAGCGGUCACGUUCGUUUUACUUGUGUCCUAAUUUUAUGGCAAUUAGCAGGUUGACGCUCAUUCAGUCAGCAUUGACUCUCCCCAAAAGCUGAGUACGAAAGGUAAGAUCCACUCGUUCACUCAACAAAAUAUUUACAACGGCCCCACCUUGUAUCAGGCACUGUACUUGCUACUGAGGAUACCAGGAGUGAAUAAAAGAGACGUAUCUCGGUACCCAUGGAGCAUAUGGUGUUGGGGGGCGGGGAGGGGUGGGGAGUGAAACGUAAGAAGCCACAAAUAAAAGUGCUGUUGCCAUCGUGAUGAGUAGUAUCGGUGAUGGAAUGCUAAAAGGGAGAGUCAAGGGAAAUCUUCGUUAGGUGGUGAGGGAAGGCCCCUGAGAACAAGUUGAUGGUUGUGCGGAAAUCUUUUUUUUUUUUUCAAGUACAGUGAUAUUUUUUAUUUUUUUUAUUUUUAUUUUAUUUAUUUGUUUGUUUGUUUGUUUUUGGUUGUGCUGCAAUCUUAAGAAUGAAGAGGGUGCAGCCGGAGAAUAUAUGAGUGGGAGCCGGGGGCUGGGCAGAGGACCGGCCCUGAUAAGGCUCCGAAGCGAGAAAGAGCUAAGGAGAGCUAAGCGAGAGCUAAGAAAGAGCUAAGCGAGAAGGAGCUAAGUGGUUGAGAACGACACAGUUCCUGUUCUCUUACAUUUUCCGGCGGGAACAGACACACAACAUUUACAUUCCGUUGUGACAGAACUGAAGUUCAAGCUAUAGCGUCCACCAUCACUGGCCCUGGUACCACUGAGGGUGGGAUCAGUGACCUCAGCAGGAGCCAUGCAGGACUCUCUGAAGAACCACUGUAGAUUGAAGGAUUCUGGAUGGAUGUUGCUGAAACGCAAGAAACGAGAGAAGAUAUUCAGGAAUAUCACCAUGAAGAAAGAAUGCAGCAUUGUGCUUUUUCUUACACUCACAGAAAAGGACGAGUAUAAUAAAACACAAGUACCUCGA
Molecule: long non-coding RNA, 2979 nt
Organism: Lynx canadensis (Canada lynx)
Lineage: Eukaryota; Metazoa; Chordata; Mammalia; Carnivora; Felidae
Exons: 2
Source: RefSeq, a predicted model, not a curated record